GCUUAACGCGAAGAACCUUACCAGGUCUUGACAUCCCCUGACCGGUCUAGAGAUAGGCCUUCCCUUCGGGGCAGGGGAGACAGGUGGUGCAUGGUUGUCGUCAGCUCGUGUCGUGAGAUGUUGGGUUAAGUCCCGCAACGAGCGCAACCCUUGAUCUUAGUUGCCAGCACUUUGGGUGGGCACUCUAAGAUGACUGCCGGUGACAAACCGGAGGAAGGCGGGGAUGACGUCAAAUCAUCAUGCCCCUUAUGACCUGGGCUACACACGUACUACAAUGGCCGGUACAAAGGGCUGCGAAGCCGCGAGGCGGAGCCAAUCCCAGCAAAGCCGGUCUCAGUUCGGAUUGCAGGCUGCAACUCGCCUGCAUGAAGUCGGAAUUGCUAGUAAUCGCGGAUCAGCAUGCCGCGGUGAAUACGUUCCCCGGGUCUUGUACAC
RNAcentral lists this ribosomal RNA (435 nucleotides) under uncultured bacterium. RNAcentral's name for it is "bacterial SSU rRNA". It matches the Rfam family "Bacterial small subunit ribosomal RNA", at positions 954 to 1388 of the family's 1533-position model. The record is from RNAcentral.